UGGGGAAUUUUGGACAAUGGGGGCAACCCUGAUCCAGCCAUGCCGCGUGAGUGAAGAAGGCCUUCGGGUUGUAAAGCUCUUUCGGCCGGGAAGAAAUCGUCUGGGUGAAUAAUCCGGAUGGAUGACGGUACCGGAAGAAGAAGCACCGGCUAACUACGUGCCAGCAGCCGCGGUAAUACGUAGGGUGCGAGCGUUAAUCGGAAUUACUGGGCGUAAAGCGUGCGCAGGCGGCUUUGUAAGACAGCUGUGAAAGCCCCGGGCUUAACCUGGGAACGGCGGUUGUGACUGCAAGGCUAGAGUUCGGCAGAGGGGGGUGGAAUUCCUGGUGUAGCAGUGAAAUGCGUAGAGAUCAGGAGGAACACCGAUGGCGAAGGCAGCCCCCUGGGCCGCGACUGACGCUCAGGCACGAAAGCGUGGGGAGCAAACAGG
This 429-nucleotide ribosomal RNA is filed under the name uncultured Rhodocyclaceae bacterium. RNAcentral's name for it is "bacterial SSU rRNA". It matches the Rfam family "Bacterial small subunit ribosomal RNA", at positions 355 to 776 of the family's 1533-position model. The record is from RNAcentral. Lineage: Bacteria; Pseudomonadati; Pseudomonadota; Betaproteobacteria; Rhodocyclales; Rhodocyclaceae.